RNAcentral lists this unclassified non-coding RNA (370 nucleotides) under fungal sp. RNAcentral describes it as "partial internal transcribed spacer region". The stretch from base 1 to 46 matches the Rfam family "Eukaryotic small subunit ribosomal RNA", at positions 1786 to 1831 of the family's 1831-position model. Lineage: Eukaryota; Fungi. The record is from RNAcentral.
AAGUCGUAACAAGGUAACCGUAGGUGAACCUGCGGUUGGAUCAUUAGCGGUAGGAAGCCCGCGCCGUUGUAGUGUUUCUGGUGUUGUUGUUGGUGUGGUUGUCUUUGUGUACACUGGCACUGCUGGUGUUUCACUGGCCUUUGUCUUUGUUUCACUGGCAUUUGUCUUUGUGAAUACACUAACAUUUGUCUUUGUGAUACACUAACAUUUGUUGGUGUGACACUAACAAUAGUUGCUGUGCACUAACAAUAGUUGCUGUGCACUACAAACUACUCCAAACCCCUCAACAACCGCACCAGACUAAACGUCUUUGCUUGCUUUGAUGAAACCAAAUCAAAAACAACUUUUGACAACGGAUCUCUUGGCUCUC